Molecule: ribosomal RNA, 90 nt
Filed under: uncultured bacterium
Lineage: Bacteria
Description: partial 16S ribosomal RNA
Rfam family: Bacterial small subunit ribosomal RNA
Source: RNAcentral
CCCGUCACACCAUGGGAGUCGAUUGCUCCAGAAGUCAGUGCGCUAACCGCAAGGAGGCAGCUGCCCAAGGAGUGGUCGGUGACUGGGGUG